AUUGAACGCUGGCGGCAUGCCUUACACAUGCAAGUCGAACGGCAGUACGGGGCAACCUGGUGGCGAGUGGCGAACGGUGAGUAAUGCAUCGGAACGUGCCAUUGAGUGGGGGAUAACGUAGCGAAAGUUGCGCUAAUACCGCAUAUUCUGUGAGCAGGAAAGCAGGGGACCGCAAGGCCUUGCGCUCUUUGAGCGGCCGAUGUCAGAUUAGCUAGUUGGUGAGGUAACGGCUUACCAAGGCGACGAUCUGUAGCGGGUCUGAGAGGAUGAUCCGCCACACUGGAACUGAGACACGGUCCAGACUCCUACGGGAGGCAGCAGUGGGGAAUUUUGGACAAUGGGCGCAAGCCUGAUCCAGCCAUGCCGCGUGAGUGAAGAAGGCCU
This 384-nucleotide ribosomal RNA is filed under the name uncultured bacterium. RNAcentral's name for it is "bacterial SSU rRNA". It matches the Rfam family "Bacterial small subunit ribosomal RNA", at positions 30 to 417 of the family's 1533-position model. The record is from RNAcentral.